UAACAUCUAGUCUAAUUCUAUGUUUGUUAGUAGCAGGGAUUAGCAUGUUUGUUAGCAGCAGAGAUUAGCAUUAGUGGGACUAGGAGGGACUCGCGUUCACUAAAGCCUUCACUAGUGAACUCUUCAAAAACAGCCGGACUGCUAAGACCAGCUUCAUUCGCCCCUCUAAUCCUCUGCGAGCUUCAUCGAUCUCGCUCUUUCUUCUUUCAGACCCAUGGAUCUCAUCCCUUGCAAAUCAAUAGCAGCAGCAAUAGCAUAUCGAUGACUACAUCAUCAAAUCAAUCUCAUCCUUCUGUGGAGGGGAUGCUGAGGAUUGAUGGGUUGUUUUAGAGGAAUCGAUCGACGGCGGCGACUCAGGCUUCUCUCUUGCUGUAAUCCAGCCUCUCUUCCUCUCACAGGUAACGACUCAAGCUUCUCGAAGUAGUAGAGAAAAAAAAUGGAGUUUUAACUUUGGAAUUAUCAGUUUGGUAUUUGAAGUCUGGUGGGAUUAGUCUGAAGAAAAAAAUGGUGCAAGAAUCUUUCAGUGGGAAUAGUCUGUGUGUUUUUUUGUUAUUCAUGGUGUUUGCUCCAUUAAUUGGGUAUUUUGUGUUUAGAGAUUUUGGAUUAAACAAUUGGUUAAACUUGCAAGUUUAUGUACAAGCAAAGUAAUUGAUUUUUCAUUUAUCCUCACUUUUUUUAUUAUGUUGACUCAAAAGCAGUAGCUUCAGAAGCAAAAACUAAUAAUAAAAAUAAAAUUACAUUUUUUGUCUUUUGUUAA
Pyrus x bretschneideri (Chinese white pear) is the source of this 757-nucleotide long non-coding RNA. RefSeq lists it as uncharacterized. NCBI's taxonomy places the organism in Eukaryota, Viridiplantae, Streptophyta, Magnoliopsida, Rosales, Rosaceae. The record is from RefSeq and is a predicted model, not a curated record. The transcript has 2 exons.